GGACACAAAGUGCAUCCUAUAUAGAGGUUGCAAGGUUGCACUUCAUUACAGUGUGGACAGGUAGACAUGCCAAUAGUGUGUCUGCAGUGCACUUGGCUGUGCAGAGCCUCUGAGAUGGUGCUGUAACUUACUCAAGGCCAACGAAGAAUGCAAUGCACGUAGCAUCAAAUCCGAGGACAGAUGCCAUAUACAGUACAUGCACAGUUGCUUGGCUCUGUGCAAGGGUCAGCCAGCAAGCUCACCUCCCUGAUCCAAACUGAGGUAUCUCAAUAACUUUUGGAUGAGAUCAUAAUUAAAUGUUUUAUAAAAACGCAUGAACUCGAGAGGAUAUCGUCUGAUGGCUUUGAUGAUUGGCGGACUUUUCCUGCAGUGCCAUCAUGAGGUUCACCGUUUGAACAUGAGCACAGCUGAAUGGAGUCAAAUAUUUAACUACCGCCAUAAAACUUUACCUUUACUUGAUUUUUUAAAAAGUUUUCUGAAAAUGUAUGUUUAAAUAUGCAAAUUUGGUAUAUUUUCUUUUUUUACAUAGUGUACGAAAAACAUGAUGUUGAUGUCACCAUGAAGCAUUGUUUUGGGGGGCUCUGGGAGAAGUGAGGUAAAAUAGAGCUCAAAUUAAUGUGCAUUUUAGAUAUUUUUUCCUUCUGAAUCCACACAGAAUCAAUGUGGACCAUACACAUUUGCACAAAUGAUGAAUGACAACCAAUUUGAUAUGCUUUUUUGUCUACACGUCUUUUUGAGGGUUAUUUUGUCAAAUACCUCUCAGUUGAUACACCUUUAUGGUAGAGACAAUAUGUCCUGUUGCUGUCUCCUUUUUACCUUAAUAACUUUAAUGAAAAGGUCAUUCUUGCAUUUUCGUUUAGAAUAAAUACAGCCUUUUUUUUCAUAAUGGUUCAAAUCUUUGAGAAAAACAACAUGCGGAUUUGUCUGCCAGCACAGUCUUGCUGAUGAUUAUAGACAACUCAAUUUAAAAAAAGACAAAAUAAACAUUUCAUCUUGAAGAA
Long non-coding RNA from Gasterosteus aculeatus aculeatus (three-spined stickleback), 1001 nucleotides. Lineage: Eukaryota; Metazoa; Chordata; Actinopteri; Perciformes; Gasterosteidae. The record is from Ensembl.